AGAAUUGAGUGGAACUGUUGUCUUAGUAACACACUCGGAGAAGGAAAGCAUUCCAGGAAGCUGGCAUGCAGUCACCACAACAUCUGCACACCGAGGCAGGUUGGUGAGCCCUGUGUAAGCACCUGGAAAUAGCUGGCACAGAUUGCGAUGGAACUGAGCUAGCACCGGACUAAACAGACCAAAAAAAAGAGCACCGGAUCAGACGCCGCCUUCAGUUGCUCUACAAGAACAGAAAAGUUAUUCUAGGAACAACAUUUGGCCCAUUGCAACUUCUGAAUGUAAAACAAUUUACUGCAAUGGAAAGGAUUUUAUUUGAAUUUGGCCUGCUUGGUUUCCCUGACCCCCGUUGUGGUGGUUUUCCUCAUGGGCAGUUCGGUGAGAUGGAGAAAACGCCAUUUUAAAAUACGCCUCAUCUGCAAAUGUCCUUUAGGAGCUCUCACCCAAAAGCAUCCCACUGGUUUUCAGUGCCCCAGAUCUCAGUUCUCUUUCAGUGGAGCCUUGCUUAUCUUCCAGUCUACCUGUGUCCUGAUGCAGAGAUGCAGAAUUUCAGAUCAAUUCACAGAAAAGCUCUACGUAAGUCGUUCUGUGAAUUUACUGAAGCUAUAUUAUGAUGCAGGACAGAUGUUUAUUGUUCCC
Molecule: long non-coding RNA, 636 nt
Filed under: Pavo cristatus (Indian peafowl)
Lineage: Eukaryota; Metazoa; Chordata; Aves; Galliformes; Phasianidae
Description: lncRNA (ENSPSTG00000003183.1)
Source: RNAcentral